GACGAACGCUGGCGGCGUGCUUAACACAUGCAAGUCGAACGGAAAGGCCCUGCUUUUGUGGGGUGCUCGAGUGGCGAACGGGUGAGUAACACGUGAGUAACCUGCCCGUGACUUUGGGAUAACUUCAGGAAACUGGGGCUAAUACCUGAUAUGAGCUCCUGCUGCAUGGUGGGGGUUGGAAAGUGUCGGCGGUUGGGGAUGGACUCGCGGCUUAUCAGCUUGUUGGUGGGGUAGUGGCUUACCAAGGCUUUGACGGGUAGCCGGCCUGAGAGGGUGACCGGCCACAUUGGGACUGAGCUACGGCCCAGACUCCUACGGGAGGCAGCAGUGGGGAAUAUUGCACAAUGGGCGGAAGCCUGAUGCAGCAACGCCGCGUGCGGGAUGACGGCCUUCGGGUUGUAAACCGCUUUCGCCUGUGACGAAGCGUGAGUGACGGUAAUGGGUAAAGAAGCACCGGCUAACUACGUG
This 468-nucleotide ribosomal RNA is filed under the name uncultured bacterium. RNAcentral describes it as "partial 16S ribosomal RNA". It matches the Rfam family "Bacterial small subunit ribosomal RNA", at positions 28 to 507 of the family's 1533-position model. The record is from RNAcentral.